RNAcentral lists this ribosomal RNA (253 nucleotides) under uncultured bacterium. Its description in RNAcentral is "partial 16S ribosomal RNA". It matches the Rfam family "Bacterial small subunit ribosomal RNA", at positions 524 to 776 of the family's 1533-position model. The record is from RNAcentral.
UACGGAGGGUGCAAGCGUUAUCCGGAUUCACUGGGUUUAAAGGGUGCGUAGGUGGGCAGGUAAGUCAGUGGUGAAAUCUCCGAGCUUAACUCGGAAACUGCCGUUGAUACUAUUAGUCUUGAAUAUUGUGGAGGUAAGCGGAAUAUGUCAUGUAGCGGUGAAAUGCUUAGAUAUGACAUAGAACACCAAUUGCGAAGGCAGCUUACUACACAACGAUUGACGCUGAGGCACGAAAGCGUGGGGAUCAAACAGG